CCCUUAGAUGUCCUGGGCCGCACGCGCGCUACACUGAGUGUCUGAGAUACGAGUCUGCCUGGUCCGGCAAGGUCUAGGUAAUCGCUAAAAGACACAUCAUGCUUGGGAUAGAUUAUUGCAAAUAUUAAUCUUGAACGAGGAAUUCCUAGUAAGCGCAAGUCAACAGCUUGCGUUGAUUACGUCCCUGCCCUUUGUACACACCGCCCGUCGCUACUACUGAUUGGAUGUCUAAGCGAGGUUCUCGAACUGCUAGCGACUUAGCUUCGGUGAGGUCGCAGUGUGGGAAGUGAACCGAGCUUUGGUGUCUAGAGGAAGUAAAAGUCGUAACA
Molecule: ribosomal RNA, 329 nt
Filed under: uncultured eukaryote
Lineage: Eukaryota
Description: partial 18S ribosomal RNA
Rfam family: Eukaryotic small subunit ribosomal RNA
Source: RNAcentral